CGACGCCGUGCACUACGUUAACCUCUGAUUCUUUCACAGGGAGCUGUAGGUACCUACCUACGUGUUCGGGAUAGCUGCGGGAAACUGCAGGUAAUACCGAAUAACGUCUCCGGACCAAAGGUGUGAUUCCACCUGGAGAGGGGCCUGCAUCCUAUUAGCUUGUUGGUGGGGUAACGGCCUACCAAGGCGACGAUGGGUAGCGGGUGUGAGAGCAUGACCCGCGUCAUUGGGACUGAGACACUGCCCAGACACCUACGGCUGGCUGCAGUCGAGAAUCUUCGGCAAUGGGCGAAAGCCUGACCGAGCGACGCCGCGUGCGGGAUGAAGGCCUUCGGUUUGUAAACCGCUGUCGUAAAAGAGGAAGUGCAGGGGGGUUAUCCCCUCUGUUUGACCUAUUCUAGGAGGAAGUAAGGUCUAGGUUCGUGCCACCACCCGCGGUAAGACGAACCGUACAAACCUUACUCGGGAUUACUGGGCUUAAAGGGCCGUAAGCUCGCCCGGAAAGUGGGGUGUAAAAACCCCUGGCUUAACCGGGGAAAUGGAUCCAAAAAUACCGGUGCAAAAGGGAAAUAGAGGGUGAGCGGACCUCCAGGGGCAGCGGGGAAAAGCCUUGAUACCUGAGGAACACGGGGG
Molecule: ribosomal RNA, 633 nt
Filed under: uncultured Planctomycetota bacterium
Lineage: Bacteria; Pseudomonadati; Planctomycetota
Description: bacterial SSU rRNA
Rfam family: Bacterial small subunit ribosomal RNA
Source: RNAcentral